Molecule: ribosomal RNA, 646 nt
Filed under: Rhodococcus sp. 2YC
Lineage: Bacteria; Bacillati; Actinomycetota; Actinomycetes; Mycobacteriales; Nocardiaceae
Description: bacterial SSU rRNA
Rfam family: Bacterial small subunit ribosomal RNA
Source: RNAcentral
AAAGCGUGGGUAGCGAACAGGAUUAGAUACCCUGGUAGUCCACGCCGUAAACGGUGAUCGCUAGGUGUGGGUAUCCUUCCACGAGAUCCGUGGCGCAGCUAACGCAUUAAGCGAUCCGCCUGGGGAGUACGGCCGCAAGGUUAAAACUCAAAUGAAUUGACGGGGGCCCGCACAAGCGGCGGAGCAUGUGGAUUAAUUCGAUGCAACGCGAAGAACCUUACCAGGGUUUGACAUACACCGGAACGCCCCAGAGAUGGAUUUUCCCUUGUGGUCACUCUACAGGUGGUGCAUGGCUGUCGUCAGCUCGUGUCGUGAGAUGUUGGGUUAAGUCCCGUAACGAGCGCAACCCUUGUCCUGUGUUGCCAGCACGUAAUGGUGGGCACUCGCAGGAGACUGCCGGUGUCAACUCGGAGGAAGGUGGGGACGACGUCAAGUCAUCAUGCCCCUUAUGUCCAGGGCUUCACACAUGCUACAAUGGCCGGUACAGAGGGCUGCGAAUCCGCGAGGUGGAGCGAAUCCCUUAAAGCCGGUCUCAGUUCGGAUCGCAGUCUGCAACUCGACUGCGUGAAGUCGGAGUCGCUAGUAAUCGCAGAUCAGCAACGCUGCGGUGAAUACGUUCCCGGGCCUUGUACACACCGCCCGUCAC